Molecule: ribosomal RNA, 1589 nt
Filed under: Clostridium beijerinckii
Lineage: Bacteria; Bacillati; Bacillota; Clostridia; Eubacteriales; Clostridiaceae
Description: partial 23S ribosomal RNA
Rfam family: Bacterial large subunit ribosomal RNA
Source: RNAcentral
GGUCAAGCUACAAAGGGCGCAUGGUGAAUGCCUUGGCAUCAGGAGCCGAUGAAGGACGCGAUAAGCUGCGAUAAGCUUCGGGUAGACGCACAUAGUCAGAGAUCCGAAGAUUUCCGAAUGAGGAAACUCACAUGGGAAACCCCAUGUAUCAUAAAGUGAAUACAUAGCUUUAUGAAGGUAUACCCAGGGAACUGAAACAUCUAAGUACCUGGAGGAAGAGAAAGAAAAAUCGAUUUUCUUAGUAGCGGCGAGCGAAAAGGAAAGAGCCCAAACCAGAGAUUUAUCUCUGGGGUUGCGGACAGAACAUAACGAGAAAUCAUAGUUAAUUGAACACAACUGGAAAGUUGGACCACAGUGGGUAAUAGUCCCGUAAGUGAAAACUAUGAUAAUCAGUUCUGCACCAGAGUACCACGAGACACGUGAAACCUUGUGGGAAGCAGGGAGGACCACCUCCCAAGGCUAAAUACUACCUGAUGACCGAUAGUGAAGCAGUACCGUGAGGGAAAGGUGAAAAGAACCCCGGGAGGGGAGUGAAAUAGAACCUGAAACCAUGUGCCUACAACCGAUCAGAGCACCUUAUGUGUGUGAUGAUGUGCUUUUUGUAGAACGAGCCAACGAGUUACGGUAUGUAGCGAGGUUAAGUACUUAAGGUACGGAGCCGAAGGGAAACCGAGUCUUAAUAGGGCGACUAGUUGCAUGCUGUAGACCCGAAACCGGGUGACCUAUCCAUGGCCAGGUUGAAGCGAGGGUAAAACCUCGUGGAGGACCGAACCACGUUGCUGUUGAAAAAGCAUGGGAUGAGCUGUGGAUAGCGGAGAAAUUCCAAUCGAACUCGGAUAUAGCUGGUUCUCCUCGAAAUAGCUUUAGGGCUAGCGUCGGAAAAUGUGAGUAGUGGAGGUAGAGCACUGAAUAGGCUAGGGGGCAUAGCGCUUACCGAACCUUAUCAAACUCCGAAUGCCACAUACUAUCAGUCCGGCAGUCAGACUAUGAAAGAUAAGUUCCAUGGUCAAAAGGGAAACAGCCCAGAUCGUCAGCUAAGGUCCCAAAGUGUAAGUUAAGUGGAAAAGGAUGUGGGAUUUCUAAGACAACUAGGAUGUUGGCUUAGAAGCAGCCACUCAUUAAAAGAGUGCGUAAUAGCUCACUAGUCAAGAGAUCCUGCGCCGAAAAUGUCCGGGGCUCAAACUUACCACCGAAGCUACGGGUUCACGCAUUAGCGUGAGCGGUAGAGGAGCGUCGUAAUCGGGCUGAAGUCGUACCGUAAGGAGCGGUGGACUGAUUACGAGUGAGAAUGUUGGCAUUAGUAGCGAGAUGUAGGCGAGAAUCCUACAGGCCGAAUAUCUAAGGUUUCCUGAGUAAAGUUUGUCUUCUCAGGGUUAGUCGGGACCUAAGGCGAGGCCGAAAGGCGUAGUCGAUGGACAAUUGGUUGAUAUUCCAAUACCACUACAAUCGUUAUUAUCGAUGGUGUGACGGAGAAGGAUAGGAUGUGCUAGCUAUUGGAUGCUAGUCUAAGCGUUUAGGGAGUUGGGAUUGGCAAAUCCGUUCCAAUAAUUCUGAGGCGUGAUGGGGAAGGUUCUACGGAACCGAAGUAU